RNAcentral lists this ribosomal RNA (245 nucleotides) under uncultured Pseudomonas sp. RNAcentral describes it as "partial 16S ribosomal RNA". It matches the Rfam family "Bacterial small subunit ribosomal RNA", at positions 109 to 356 of the family's 1533-position model. The record is from RNAcentral. Lineage: Bacteria; Pseudomonadati; Pseudomonadota; Gammaproteobacteria; Pseudomonadales; Pseudomonadaceae.
AGUAAUGCCUAGGAAUCUGCCUGGUAGUGGGGGACGAACGUUUCGAAAGGAACGCUAAUACCGCAUACGUCCUACGGGAGAAAGCAGGGGACCUUCGGGCCUUGCGCUAUCAGAUGAGCCUAGGUCGGAUUAGCUAGUUGGUGAGGUAAUGGCUCACCAAGGCGACGAUCCGUAACUGGUCUGAGAGGAUGAUCAGUCACACUGGAACUGAGACACGGUCCAGACUCCUACGGGAGGCAGCAGUG